RNAcentral lists this unclassified non-coding RNA (216 nucleotides) under Hebeloma aminophilum. RNAcentral describes it as "ITS2". Lineage: Eukaryota; Fungi; Basidiomycota; Agaricomycetes; Agaricales; Hymenogastraceae. The record is from RNAcentral.
AAUUCUCAACCCUUAUCAACUUUGUGCUGAUAAUGGGCUUGGAUAUGGGGGUUUUUUGCUGGCUUCUUCACSGAUGGUCAGCUCCCCUGAAAUGCAUUAGCUGGUGCCCCGCGUGGACUGUCUAUUGGUGUGAUAAUUAUCUACGCUGUGGACAUCUACAAUCAUAUGGGUUUGCACUGCUUCUAACUGUCUGUUUAUUCAGACAAUACAUGACUA